This 450-nucleotide ribosomal RNA is filed under the name uncultured bacterium. Its description in RNAcentral is "bacterial SSU rRNA". It matches the Rfam family "Bacterial small subunit ribosomal RNA", at positions 354 to 796 of the family's 1533-position model. The record is from RNAcentral.
GUGGGGAAUAUUGGACAAUGGGCGAAAGCCUGAUCCAGCCAUGCCGCGUGUGUGAAGAAGGUCUUCGGAUUGUAAAGCACUUUAAGUUGGGAGGAAGGGCAGUAAGUUAAUACCUUGCUGUUUUGACGUUACCGACAGAAUAAGCACCGGCUAACUUCGUGCCAGCAGCCGCGGUAAUACGAAGGGUGCAAGCGUUAAUCGGAAUUACUGGGCGUAAAGCGCGCGUAGGUGGUUUUGUAAGUUGGAGGUGAAAUCCCCGGGCUCAACCUGGGAACUGCCUCCAAAACUGCAGGACUAGAGUACGGUAGAGGGUAGUGGAAUUUCCUGUGUAGCGGUGAAAUGCGUAGAUAUAGGAAGGAACACCAGUGGCGAAGGCGACUACCUGGACUGAUACUGACACUGAGGUGCGAAAGCGUGGGGAGCAAACAGGAUUAGAAACCCCAGUAGUCC